UCCGAAUUGGUGUAGUGGCUAACAUUUGACGCUCUCAUGGUCUGAGUAGAUCUGUAUGAUUAUUACUUGCUGUUUGAUCCGUCAAGCCCGGGGUUCGAUUCCCCGAUUCGGAG
Molecule: non-coding RNA, 113 nt
Organism: Hypoxylon sp. CI-4A
Lineage: Eukaryota; Fungi; Ascomycota; Sordariomycetes; Xylariales; Hypoxylaceae
Source: the annotation of a GenBank genome assembly